UAACGCGUGGGAAUCUACCUUAAGCUACGGGAUAACAGAGAGAAAUUUCUGCUAAUACCGUAUGUGGCCUAUGGGCGAAAGAUUUAUCGGCUUAAGAUGAGCCCGCGUUGGAUUAGCUAGUUGGUGGGGUAAAGGCCUACCAGGGCGACGAUCCAUAGCUGGUCUGAGAGGAUGAUCAGCCACACUGGGACUGAGACACGGCCCAGACUCCUACGGGAGGCAGCAGUGGGGAAUAUUGGACAAUGGGCGGAAGCCUGAUCCAGCCAUGCCGCGUGAGUGAAGAAGGCCUUAGGGUUGUAAAGCUCUUUCACCGGUGAAGAUAAUGACGGUAACCGGAGAAGAAGCCCCGGCUAACUUCGUGCCAGCAGCCGCGGUAAUACGAAGGGGGCUAGCGUUGUUCGGAUUUACUGGGCGUAAAGCGCGCGUAGGCGGAUAGAUAAGUCA
RNAcentral lists this ribosomal RNA (444 nucleotides) under uncultured Hyphomicrobiales bacterium. RNAcentral's name for it is "bacterial SSU rRNA". It matches the Rfam family "Bacterial small subunit ribosomal RNA", at positions 111 to 590 of the family's 1533-position model. The record is from RNAcentral. Lineage: Bacteria; Pseudomonadati; Pseudomonadota; Alphaproteobacteria; Hyphomicrobiales.